GACGGGUGAGUAACGCGUGGGUAACCCGCCUUAUACUGGGGGAUAACAGCCAGAAAUGACUGCUAAUACCGCAUAAGCGCACAGAACCGCAUGGUUCCGUGUGAAAAACUCCGGUGGUAUAAGAUGGACCCGCGUUGGAUUAGCUAGUUGGCAGGGCAGCGGCCUACCAAGGCGACGAUCCAUAGCCGGCCUGAGAGGGUGAACGGCCACAUUGGGACUGAGACACGGCCCAGACUCCUACGGGAGGCAGCAUG
RNAcentral lists this ribosomal RNA (254 nucleotides) under uncultured bacterium. RNAcentral describes it as "partial 16S ribosomal RNA". It matches the Rfam family "Bacterial small subunit ribosomal RNA", at positions 100 to 353 of the family's 1533-position model. The record is from RNAcentral.